This 253-nucleotide small RNA is filed under the name uncultured Myxococcales bacterium. RNAcentral's name for it is "contains 16S-23S intergenic spacer region". It matches the Rfam family "Bacterial small subunit ribosomal RNA", at positions 524 to 776 of the family's 1533-position model. The record is from RNAcentral. Lineage: Bacteria; Pseudomonadati; Myxococcota; Myxococcia; Myxococcales.
GACAGAGGGUGCAAACGUUGUUCGGAAUUACUGGGCGUAAAGCGCGUGUAGGUGGCAUGGCAUGUCGGGUGUGAAAUCCCGCGGCUCAACCGUGGAAGUGCAUUCGAAACUGCCAAGCUAGAGUCCUGGAGAGGAAGAUGGAAUACUUGGUGUAGAGGUGAAAUUCGUAGAUAUCAAGUGGAACACCGGUGGCGAAGGCGGUCUUCUGGACAGUGACUGACACUGAGACGCGAAAGCGUGGGGAGCAAACAGG